CAUGCCUAUACCGGUCCUAUGAAGGCUUCACUCGCUUCCGUUUGCUUGUUAGGAGACACCUCCCGAUGAGUCGCGGUUCGAUGCGUGAUGCCAUGUUGUAGUGAACCUGAUGGUGUGUGAGUGGCGUUUGGGUCGUGUGGGUUGGUAGGCUCCUUGCUCGUGCAACGAACUAUCGUCACAUGCCCCUCUUCAUUCGCUUAAAGCGCUGAAACAGGCCUUGGGCGUCGUGAUACGAUGGUUCCUGUGUUGCUUUCCUAAUGGAUGGAAUUGUCCCUCCCUCGAAUGUUGCCUCUCUCCGCUUAGCUUCGCUCACGCGGCGCAGGUGGACCUCGAAAGCAAUCAUCGUUCCCAUGGUCGCCCCACGCAUGCAUGCAUGAGAGGGGUCGAGCAUGGCCCAUGACGGUUGCUCGUUCUUUCGGAUGCGGAACCUUGGAACGGGCGUGGGAUUUAUGAUCCCUAUAGUCGCUCGAGCUAAGCGUUCGUCGCUGGAUGCGUACGACGGUUGUCACCGUCUUUGCCCUCCCGUUCCCCCUGGGGGCCUCGGUGAGGCGCAUGCGGUGCCAGCGUCGCACCGGAAUG
RNAcentral lists this unclassified non-coding RNA (579 nucleotides) under Apocissus antarctica. RNAcentral describes it as "Cissus antarctica partial external transcribed spacer". The record is from RNAcentral. Lineage: Eukaryota; Viridiplantae; Streptophyta; Magnoliopsida; Vitales; Vitaceae.